RNAcentral lists this unclassified non-coding RNA (270 nucleotides) under plant metagenome. RNAcentral describes it as "partial contains small subunit ribosomal RNA, internal transcribed spacer 1, and 5.8S ribosomal RNA". The record is from RNAcentral.
UUUCCGUAGGUGAACCUGCGGAAGGAUCAUUAACGUAUCUCCGGCGGUGGUCGUCGCUCCACGCUCCGGCCCCAAAAGGCCGUGCAGCGGGACCGCGCCCCCGUCCAACCUUUGCAAAAACCCCCUGUGCACAUUCACGGCGGAGGGCCGACGGGCGAGAGCCCCGAAGCCCAAAGCCGCAUCACCAAACACCAAGUUUAAAAAGAAUGAACUGCGGCCGCGUGUCGCCUAACAAUUGAACAACUUUCAACAACGGAUCUCUUGGCUCUC